Molecule: ribosomal RNA, 253 nt
Filed under: uncultured bacterium
Lineage: Bacteria
Description: partial 16S ribosomal RNA
Rfam family: Bacterial small subunit ribosomal RNA
Source: RNAcentral
UACGUAGGGGUCUAGCGUUGUCCGGAAUUAUUGGGCGUAAAGAGCUCGUAGGCGGCUUGUCGCGUCGAAUGUGAAAACUCGGGGCUCAACCCCGCGCUUGCAUUCGAUACGGGCAGGCUCGAGUUCGGUAGGGGAGACUGGAAUUCCUGGUGUAGCGGUGAAAUGCGCAGAUAUCAGGAGGAACACCGGUGGCGAAGGCGGGUCUCUGGGCCGAUACUGACGCUGAGGAGCGAAAGCGUGGGGAGCGAACAGG